AUUGAACGCUGGCGGCAGGCCUAACACAUGCAAGUCGAACGAGUGGCGGACGGGUGAGUAAUGUCUGGGAAACUGCCAGAUGGAGGGGGAUAACUACUGGAAACGGUAGCUAAUACCGCAUACCAUCGGAUGUGCCCAGAUGGGAUUGGCUUGUAGGUGGGGUAACGGCUCACCUAGGCGACGAGCCCUAGCUGGUCUGAGAGGAGGACCAGCGACACUGGAACGGGUACACGGCCCAGACUCCUACGGGAGGAAGCAGUGGGGAAUAUUGCAAAAGGGGCGCAAGCCGGAUGCAGCCAUGCCGCGUGGAUGAAGAAGGCCUUCGGGUUGUAAAGUACUUUAAGCGAGGAGGCGUUACGCGCAGAAGAAGCACCGGCUAACUCCGUGCCAGCAGCCGCGGUAAUAC
Molecule: ribosomal RNA, 406 nt
Filed under: uncultured bacterium
Lineage: Bacteria
Description: partial 16S ribosomal RNA
Rfam family: Bacterial small subunit ribosomal RNA
Source: RNAcentral